RNAcentral lists this non-coding RNA (24 nucleotides) under Drosophila erecta. The record is from RNAcentral. Lineage: Eukaryota; Metazoa; Arthropoda; Insecta; Diptera; Drosophilidae. RNAcentral also lists the same sequence under 9 other names.
UGGAAGACUAGUGAUUUUGUUGUC